RNAcentral lists this unclassified non-coding RNA (319 nucleotides) under Hevea brasiliensis (rubber tree). Lineage: Eukaryota; Viridiplantae; Streptophyta; Magnoliopsida; Malpighiales; Euphorbiaceae. The record is from RNAcentral.
UGAUGUUGUUCUAUGGAGGCGAAAAGAUGUGACAGUGGGAAUUCUUGUAGUAACAUUGUUUGCUUGGGUGGUGUUUGAGAGAUCUGGUUAUACACUUCUAUCAUUAGUCUCAAGUGUUUUCUUUCUGCUGUUUGCCAUUUUGUUUCUAUGGUCUAAAUCAGCUGCAAUUCUUAACAGACCAGCUCCACCUCUGCCGCAUUUGUAUCUCUCUGAAGAAAUGGUAAAUGAAGCAGCAUAUUUCAUCCGCAAUCACAUCAACAUGAUACUGUCAGUUUCUGAGGAUAUUGCCCUUGGUAAGGACACAAAUAUGUAUGUUAAG